CCAAUCGGAGCCCGAGCCGGAGCCAGAGCCCGAGCCGAGAUGGGUCUCGCCUUUCUUGGAAGCCUUUUGAGUCAGCAGGGCGACGUCGCCCGAGGCUCCGCCUCCGCUCCUCCCCAAGCAAAGUAACAAAGUAACUGAGGAGCAGCCUCUGCCGAGUGAGCAGAGCUGCGGCUGUGGGCAGCCAGCCGCACAGAAGACCCUUUGGGCCCCGAGGUAGUUUGGUUUCUUUGAAGAGGAAAGAGGGGUUGGCGGGCAGCUGUGGAGGCUCCGCCCUGAGCCUGCGAGGCCCAGCUUGCUACUCCCUGGUGGAUUCCACAGCCACCACCACACCCCCACCCCACCCCCACCCCCGCAACUCUUUGCAAAGCUGCUUGAAAAGUCUCCACAUGGAUUUGGUGGCAGCGGCGGCGGCACUGCCUGCUUUUGUGGCGCUCUUGUUUCUCUCCCUUUGGCCUCUUCUGGGGCCAGACCAAGGCCAGUUCUCUGCAGCUGAGUGUCCCUGGUGGCUUGCGGGUGGGUUGGGCGUCCGGCGCCCCGACGAAUGACCCCAGCCCCAGCCCCGGGAUUGUGCGAUGUGGAGCUGGCUCCUUGUCUGGGCGGGGAGCAAGGAUUUGGGGAAACUUUCGCGGCCCUCUGAGGUGAGGUGGUCACAGGGUAGAAGAAGAGAUGACCUGGAGUUUGUGUCACAUGGGACGCAGGACACUGAGCUGGGGUCCACUUGGCGCAGGUAACUUUGGUCUUCACGAUCCGAUCCAGUGUUCUUCCCUGAGGCUCUCUUGGGGAGCAGGUUGGCACGACUGUGCUGUAGUGUAUGGAGACAUUGCUUUUCCGGGGGAACUAGUGGCCUUGGUGUCCAGCGCAGGCUGCACUAGGUUAUCGGGGAAGAGAGAAAGAAAGAGUAGGUAGGUUUCUGGGGACAACUGCUCUGUUACUCGCGGUGCUGGAUUGUUGCUGUCUGCCACCAGAGUGUUCCAAAAAUGCUCCGGGGAAGCCAUUGUCAGAAACGCAAAGGCACUGACUGACCUUGGCGCUCUUUGCCAGGUGCUUUUGUCUUGGGAAUAACCUUCCUUGACUCUUGUCCAACUACUUCCCCAUCUCUCCCCUAGUCCCCAUUCUCCUCUCCCAGCGCUGCAUUGCUCCUGGGUUGGUCCUGUGGGUUAGGGCACUGCUUGGAAUAUGUGUUUGUUGGCAGAGUCUUUUAAGAUGUUUUGAUUCUAAGGAUCUCUGCAGAAUUGUCCUGUGCAGCCAGGUCUGGGCGCCCAGUCCCAGGAUCCUGAGCCACCAGUAGGAGCCCGCUCUUCUGCAAAGCCAAGGAGAAGCUGGCUCCCCACCUCUCAGAGCCAGCCUGCUUGAUGGUGGCUCUAAACAACUACUGGUCACUGGGGAACCCUGAAAGAGGGAUGAGAGGGGAUGAGAGUGGUCUUUCAUAUUAGGCCUUUGGGUUCUAAGGAAAGUCAUUCAAAUGAGUCCAUGACCUCUGUUUUCCUGGACCCGUCCUCUGUUCUCUUCCAGUUUUGUUAUUCUUUCUAUAGGUUGGUUGCUUCUAUCCUUCUCUCCUCAGGGGGGUGGGGGCUCUGAAGUUUCACCAGGUGGACGCUGGGGAGUGGGCUCCAGGGCGCUUUUCUGCCUCCCACUGAUUAUGACAAGUUUUCUGGCUAACCCACCCAGCUCAGUUUGGCUGGUGGGCACAUCUGCUGCCUUGGUUCCAGGUGCAGAUGGAAACGCAGCAGUGGCCAAGAGCUGAUGGUGAAGAAGGAAAAAGUGACAGCGACGCUCCUGGCUGAGCCUGCAGGAUACAGAGAAAGAACUUAUUUUGUCCUUGACAAUUUCUCUCAUUGUUGUGACUACCUGGUUUCCUGGAAAUAAAUUCACAUUGCUUUCCAGAGACAUUAUUUAUUUACUUUCCAUCUCCCCACCGCCCCCCAGUAGAAAAGGAGUAAGACCACAACCUGAGUCUGAUCAAGUGGCAGCAUGUACUGUCCACCCAGGCAGCGGUUAUGAAAUGAUAGCACGCAGAAGGAAAGCCAUGUAUAUAUUCGAUGGGCAUAGAGGGCAACAGCUCUAUGCAAUGAGUGAUCAGGUGGCUUAAUUAAAUUCUCUUUGGACUAAGUGUUACUGCAUGCAUCAUUAUUCAAUUCCAUGUUUGGAACCAUGCUUGAUGUGACUCAUUAUAUGUGACUCAUUAUAUGCAGGCAAGUUGGAGAGAGCAUUGAUUUGUGCACACUGUUUGUCAUUCCACGGAGAGCCUAACUUGAACGGGCAUGUAGUUUGUUAAUUGAAUGUUUGAACUCUACCAGUUGUAUGAUUAAACUCACAUGUAUUCAAGAGUUGUAACUUAAUGCCCCAACAGCUGAUGGAAACUUUUUUGUAAACAAACUUUUUAAAAGUGUUAUUAAUCCUUUCAUGAACAAGUAAAUAUUAAACAAAUGCAGAAGUGCUUUUCUAAUACCUGCAGUUAGAUUUCUCAAAUGAACAACCAGAUUCUUAGAUAUUCAGUUCUAAGUGAUUUAGCUAAUAUGACUGGAUUUUCUUUAGUGGCAAAACAUAACAUUUGACUUUAAGUUAAAUUUUAUGCACAGAAUGUACAGUCCUAACAAAUGCAAUUCUCACAGGAUUGUAUCUCAAAAAUUUGCCAAUAGUAUCUACAUAUAGAUCUGUAUAUGAGUUAAGCCUGUAGAAGCGUCAUGGCAAAUUUUCCUACUAUUAUAACUAUGGAAAAAAAUUAAAUCACGUCUUUGGCCUUUUGUUCAACUGUUGAUCCAGCUUUUUCACUUUGUGUGGAGAAUAAAUUGCAGCUUUUAGAUGCAGUCUUCUCAAUGACCUAGAGAGGGACUAUUGUCUCUUUAGUGUGAUGCAAGUCCGGAAAUGCAGCUCAAGAUCAGUCUGGAUGCCAGUUCCUGGCAGGUCCCAAUGCAGAUCCCUGAGGACCUUGCAACUCAUUUAAGCAGUGCCACUUCCCUUGUUCCUGACUCCUUGUUAUCUCUGACACAAAAUUAAUUGCUCUUAUGAUUAUUUCCUAUUAGGGAGAGUCACUGUAGCUUGUUUGUUUUAAGGUUUGCCUUUUACUUUUCUGGUUUUGAUUGGCCAGCAUCCUUGGUGCCUCCAUGCCUUCAAACUCCAAGUUCUAAUCACUAGUAAUGAUAUGUAACUGCACAUUUCUGGGACUGGUUUUCCUCUCCCUAGUUCCCUUAUAUCUGACUGCUGAUUUUCCUAGAUUGUGAGAUGUCAUUUGUGUCUGGCCUGCCAAGAUGGAAGGAGGCAGGUUGGGCUGCUCUUUGGGCAUUGGCAUGUGUGCAGUUGACAGCUCUUCUCUUGGUGAAUUUGAAAAAUAAAUCAACCCCUCUGCUAUUCCACCCCUCUCCCACACUUCCUCCUACUCCUCUAGCAACAAAACGUUCCACAUACAUCUAUACAAACUUACAACUUUUGUGUUUUCUUUUGGAGCCAGAUAUAUCUUAAAAAUUGGCAAUAGGACUAUCCACUACCCAAGGUCAAUACCAAUUCUCCCAUCCAAUCUUACAUGUCCAACAAUGAUGACUGAUUACAUAUUUUAUAGCCUUAAAUAUAUAGUCAUCCAGCAUAAUUUCAUAUAGAGGAAGUGUGUUGGUUCCUACUAAUAUUUUUGAAGUGCAUAUUUUUGAAGUUUACUCCAGGUGUUAUUAAAGAGAGUGAAUCAUACUAAAUUUGGAUCUGUGCUGCUCCCAAGUCUCUUAUUUGCUCUUCAUGAAGGUCAGGAAGAGGAAUGUUGGAAGGUGGAUAACAGGAAACAUCAAGGGAGUUUACAGAUUAUCCUUACAGACAAAAGAAAGAGCACAGGGAUUGUGUGUGUAUAUGUGUAUUUUUGCUCUCUUUUGUUAACAAGGAAAAAAAAGUCCUAUUUUUGACUUAUGUAUUGGGAUCAGCCUUUGACUUUGUCCAAACAGAUUUAUUUCUUAUUCUGUCAAUGUAAAAAUUUCCCUCUGUGUAUUCCUUUCACUCUCUCCCAUUUGAUCAUAUGUAUUUGGUCUGUGUUCUUAUAUCAAAUGAUGUUUCUCUACCUAACAAGGUUGUAAUUGCUUUUGAAACUGACUUGUUUUUUCAUCAGAAUCCAUGCUGUUUGUCAUGGUUACUGAAAAAUAGUACAAGACAUAUCAAUUUAUGAUAUAUCUUUAAAUGGUAUUUGAUAACAAAGUGAAUAAUACAUCAGACAGGCUACUUUUUAUUUCAGCUGAAGUCAAAAGCAAACCUCCAUAUCUAUGAAAUAAUCUUUUAAUGUCAUAGAAUGUUUAUUUGUUAUGCUUACCUGUUUGUAAAUGAAAGAGAGACUUUAUGUUUCAUUUUUUAAAUGGGAAUGGAAAACUAGAGUACUACAUUGGCUGAUUAUUUUUGAAAUAAGUGAAAUAAAUU
Molecule: long non-coding RNA, 4386 nt
Filed under: Marmota monax (woodchuck)
Lineage: Eukaryota; Metazoa; Chordata; Mammalia; Rodentia; Sciuridae
Source: RNAcentral